This 433-nucleotide ribosomal RNA is filed under the name uncultured bacterium. RNAcentral's name for it is "partial 16S ribosomal RNA". It matches the Rfam family "Bacterial small subunit ribosomal RNA", at positions 29 to 507 of the family's 1533-position model. The record is from RNAcentral.
AACGAACGCUGGCGGCAUGCCUAACACAUGCAAGUCGAACGAGACCUUCGGGUCUAGUGGCGCACGGGUGCGUAACGCGUGGGAAUCUGCCCUCCGGUUGGGAAUAACUGAGAGAAAUUUCAGCUAAUACCUUAUAAUGUCUUCGGACCAAAGAUUUAUCGCCGAGGGAUGAGCCCGCGUAGGAUUAGGUAGUUGGUGGGGUAAUGGCCUACCAAGCCGACGAUCCUUAGCUGGUCUGAGAGGAUGAUCAGCCACACUGGGACUGAGACACGGCCCAGACUCCUACGGGAGGCAGCAGUGGGGAAUAUUGGACAAUGGGCGAAAGCCUGAUCCAGCAAUGCCGCGUGAGUGAUGAAGGCCUUAGGGUUGUAAAGCUCUUUUACCCGGGAUGAUAAUGACAGUACCGGGAGAAUAAGCUCCGGCUAACUCCGUG